This 76-nucleotide transfer RNA is filed under the name Sphaerodactylus townsendi. RNAcentral describes it as "tRNA-Ala". Lineage: Eukaryota; Metazoa; Chordata; Lepidosauria; Squamata; Sphaerodactylidae. The record is from RNAcentral.
AGGGAUGGCUUUGGCUCAGUGGCAGAGCAUCUGCUUGGCAUGCUGAGGGUCUCAGGUUCAAUCCCCAGCAUCUCCA